This is a small nucleolar RNA of Lutra lutra (Eurasian river otter), 163 nucleotides long. RefSeq annotates it as small nucleolar RNA SNORA67. The record is from RefSeq and is a predicted model, not a curated record. NCBI's taxonomy places the organism in Eukaryota, Metazoa, Chordata, Mammalia, Carnivora, Mustelidae. The transcript has a single exon.
AUCCAACGUGAUUCCCUCUCCAAAAGGCCAGCUCACUCCCCAAUUCAGGAAGUAACAACUUGGAAUAAAAGCUGGUAUGCCAAAAAAAAAAAAAAAAUGCUGGUAUGCCUUAGGUUGUUGGAGAGGGGAUGUUUGCUUUGUGUUCCUUUGGUUGCCUACACAG